AUGGCGGAGGAACCGUCCGCAAAGCGUCAUCAUGGAGAGACAUCGGACAAGAGCAGCAACCUCGUCGACAUUCACGUCCUCGGCGAGAAGCGCGAGUACACGAGAACCCUCACAUGGGUUGAGGUCCACGGCAAGGAGACGCUGGAGAUUGUCUGCACCAGCGAACCAGACAAGACCGACGAGAUGAUGAGCAGGCUCAAGAUGAAGGGCGGCGGCUUGUAUCCGAGCUUCAUCGGAGUUGAUGUGGAGUACACUAUUGAAGAUGAACCUCCACAGAUGGCAGCAGUCCUGCAGUUGUGCGUCGAGGAACUCUGCUUGGUGUACCACAUCGCAGCAGCCACAAAAUGGUAA
RNAcentral lists this ribosomal RNA (351 nucleotides) under Triticum aestivum (bread wheat). RNAcentral's name for it is "partial small subunit ribosomal RNA". Lineage: Eukaryota; Viridiplantae; Streptophyta; Magnoliopsida; Poales; Poaceae. The record is from RNAcentral.